RNAcentral lists this signal recognition particle RNA (133 nucleotides) under Lachnospiraceae bacterium. RNAcentral describes it as "signal recognition particle sRNA large type". It matches the Rfam family "Bacterial large signal recognition particle RNA", at positions 93 to 224 of the family's 256-position model. From Rfam's summary of the family: The signal recognition particle (SRP) is a universally conserved ribonucleoprotein involved in the co-translational targeting of proteins to membranes. Lineage: Bacteria; Bacillati; Bacillota; Clostridia; Lachnospirales; Lachnospiraceae. The record is from RNAcentral.
CACAGCAAGUGGCGUUGACGUAUGGGUCUUGCGCAAUGGAAACCUAUGAACCGUGUCAGGUCGGGAACGAAGCAGCACUAAGUAGGACCUUUCAUGUGACGUGAGGGUGCCUGGACUGAGUUAACUACUGUGG